Molecule: long non-coding RNA, 2467 nt
Organism: Equus caballus (horse)
Lineage: Eukaryota; Metazoa; Chordata; Mammalia; Perissodactyla; Equidae
Source: Ensembl
AGGAAACAGGUGCAGAAACAGAUGGUGUGUUUCUCCAGGGUGCUUAUCUUCCGUGGGAUGACUCAGUAAUCCACGCUGCUUUGAUUUUGUGGCUCCACUGUCUCAAUGUUCAGCAUUCACAGUCUCUGCUCUCUCUGUGGAGGGGGAAGUGCAGCCCGCCGACAACUCAGACCUACUCUCAUGCUGCUUCUGCUCACAGCCCCAUUGGGCCAGAACUGGUCACGCAGUCCUGCCUGACUGCAAGACUGUGUGCCCAGGAAGAGGGGGAGAAGUGGAUACUGGUGAUCACAAGUAAUGUCUACGACAGUGACAACAAGAAGAAGACUGUGGUCAAAUAAGUUUGGAAAACCCCAGGUUGACUGAAAUUCUACAAAUCUCCUCAUGUUAGGAAUUCUCAAUGCCUUUACUCCACUGACGUUGUUGUGAAUGACCAAAAUCGAGACAUUGUGGGCCAUCUGUCUUUCCUACGGUUAUACAUGUCUCUCUCACUUAAGGACCAUAGCUCUCCAGAGCACACUUGGGAGAUACUCUUUGCUGUCUCUCUCUGAGGACCAGGUUUUCCCUGCACAGGGUCCAGGAUUCAGAUACCUUAGGGUGAGCAAAACAAAUAAAAUUUUUCUCUAGAGAUUUAUCUCUGUCUAGGAGUCCCAUAGGUUAAAUAAGCCCUGCACAAUGCCCAAAGCCAGGGUGCCAGCCUGUAUACAGCUGGGUGUAAAACAGGUAGGCCCCACACUUCAGAGUAAGUACAAGACAAUUGUCUUCAAAACAGCUAGCCUCCUUUUUUUGUACUCUUCAUGAUUUAGUGACAUCUAUUUCAGUUCAGCCAUCCUGAUUUCUACUUUAUUUUUUUCUCUCCUGGUAAAACCUAGAGGAACUGGGCUUCAACUCAAUGGUACUGAGUUGUCACUUUGACCAGGUACAGUUUUCAAGCAAGGAGUUUCAGGCACAUGGCACAGUUUGCAGGAGUGGUGUGGGAAGGGGAGUGGACGGUAGUGUGGGGGAGUAAAGGCAAAGAGGACAUGUAUUUUCCUUGAAAUGGAAGCCACCAAGGCUUGCCUUGGAGGUUGCUAUGGACUGAACCGUGUCCUCUCAAAAUUCAUAGGUUGAAGUCCUAACCCUUAAUGUGACUGUAUUUGGAGAUAAUUAAUGUUAAGUAAGUUCAUAAGGGGUGGAAGGCUAGUCCAAUAGGGUUGAUGGCCUUAGGAGAAGAAGAGCUCUCUCUCUCUCUCUCUUACUCUCUCACUCUCUCACUCUUUUGCUCUCUCUUGGUCUUUCUCCCAGCUGUGCUGAGAGGACAGGCCAGGUAAGGACUGCAGUCCAUGGGGAGAGUCCUCACCAGAAUCUAAACCCUGCUGGAUCCUCAUCUGGGACUUCCAGCCUCCAGAUCUGUGGGAAAUAAGUUUCUGUUGUUUAAGCCACCCAGUCUGUGGUAUUUUGAUAGGGCAGCCCAAGCAGACUACAACAGAGGUCAAUCCAGUUUUACUUCCUUCCGAAAGGUGGGAAAUUUGGUUCUGUGGUGCUGUCAGAGGCGACAUCCUUCAGCUGCUGCAGACUGAAUUAUUUGUGAUUCAGUGGCCCUGGCUUCAUCCAAGUUCAGUUGCAGGAUCAAACCCACAUUGCCUAAGCUCCAGUCCACUCUGAUUCACAUUUCCCAACAUGAAGAAGUGGCCACCAUCCCCAUCACUUCAACAGUGGGGCAAGAGUUCGAGAGAAUGGAGCUGGAUGUGGUGCAGAGGCUGCAGUGGAGGGAAUUCACAAGUGAACUGCACCUAAAGGUCAAGGUGAGGAAAGGACUCAGAAGAAAAGAGUUUCUUAAAAGUUGGGAAUAAAAUUUGAACCUCGUAAUAAGGCACAUGAGGUUUUCAGGGUGCCUGCACACUGAGCUUACACUUUAUCAGGGAAGUUGUCAACACUGAUUAUAGAUGUUGAAGUAUUUAAAAACUUAGAAGAGAAAAUUGAUGAAAGAUUUAUUUGGUUAUAUGAAAAUAGUACUGAGAAACAUCGUUUAUAUGGUUACUUAGCACUUAUGCCUUUUCUAUGCCAUGCACCAAAAUAAAUAUUAUGCAACUCAUCAAACUGGUGUCAAAUUAACUGUGCAAGCUUCCUUGAUUAAACUUCACAGUUAGAGUCUCAUGGUUCACAAUUUUAAAAAUUGGAGUGAACAUUGACGUGUAUCGUUCAUUUUGUCACUGACUCACAGUGUUUUGUCUUGCAAGUUUUGCGAGUAUAGCAUUUGUUUUGUCUUCCCAGAUACACCAGAAGUGAGCUAACACAAAGUUAUAGCCGCCUUUUCUAUUUCCACCCACUACCUAGCAGACUGUUGAUAAAUAUAUGUUGAAUAAACAAAACACGUAUAACAAAAUUAAUUUUAUAUUUGUACUUAGUUUAUUUUAUCAAUAUGAUUUUGAAAUCCACCUUUAAAUGUCAAAAUAGAAUUUUUUUAAUAGAAAUAUUUUUUUAAUCAAAG